Molecule: transfer RNA, 70 nt
Filed under: Camelus bactrianus (Bactrian camel)
Lineage: Eukaryota; Metazoa; Chordata; Mammalia; Artiodactyla; Camelidae
Also listed under: 2 other names
Rfam family: tRNA
About the family: Transfer RNA (tRNA) molecules are approximately 80 nucleotides in length. Their secondary structure includes four short double-helical elements and three loops (D, anti-codon, and T loops). Further hydrogen bonds mediate the characteristic L-shaped molecular structure. tRNAs have two regions of fundamental functional importance: the anti-codon, which is responsible for specific mRNA codon recognition, and the 3' end, to which the tRNAs corresponding amino acid is attached (by aminoacyl-tRNA synthetases). tRNAs cope with the degeneracy of the genetic code in two manners: having more than one tRNA (with a specific anti-codon) for a particular amino acid; and 'wobble' base-pairing, i.e. permitting non-standard base-pairing at the 3rd anti-codon position.
Source: Rfam by way of RNAcentral
GGAUAGAGCUCAGUGGUAAAGCGAAUGCUUAGCAUGCACGAGGUCCUGGGUUCAAUCCCCAGUACCUCCA